UUCGCAUGAAGCAGUGUGAAAAACUCCGGUGGUAUACGAUGGAUCCGCGUCUGAUUAGCUGGUUGGCGGGGUAACAGCCCACCAAGGCGACGAUCAGUAGCCGGCCUGAGAGGGUGAACGGCCACAUUGGGACUGAGACACGGCCCAAACUCCUACGGGAGGCAGCAGUGGGGAAUAUUGCACAAUGGGGGAAACCCUGAUGCAGCGACGCCGCGUGAGUGAAGAAGUAUUUCGGUAUGUAAAGCUCUAUCAGCAGGGAAGAAAAUGACGGUACCUGACUAAGAAGCCCCGGCUAACUACGUGCCAGCAGCCGCGGUAAUACGUAGGGGGCAAGCGUUAUCCGGAUUUACUGGGUGUAAAGGGAGCGUAGACGGCAGCGCAAGUCUGAAGUGAAAUCCCAUGGCUUAACCAUGGAACUGCUUUGGAAACUGUGCAGCUGGAGUGCAGGAGAGGUAAGCGGAAUUCCUAGUGUAGCGGUGAAAUGCGUAGAUAUUAGGAGGAACACCAGUGGCGAAGGCGGCUUACUGGACUGUAACUGACGUUGAGGCUCGAAAGCGUGGGGAGCAAACAGGAUUAGAUACCCUGGUAGUCCACGCCGUAAACGAUGAUUACUAGGUGUUGGGGGACCAAGGUCCUUCGGUGCCGGCGCAAACGC
RNAcentral lists this ribosomal RNA (655 nucleotides) under uncultured bacterium. Its description in RNAcentral is "bacterial SSU rRNA". It matches the Rfam family "Bacterial small subunit ribosomal RNA", at positions 185 to 858 of the family's 1533-position model. The record is from RNAcentral.